AAUGAACGCUGGCGGCGCGCCUAAUACAUGCAAGUCGAGCGAGAAGACGUAGCAAUACGUUUGUAAAGCGGCGAACGGGUGAGGAAUACAUGGGUAACCUACCCUCGAGUGGGGAAUAACUAGCCGAAAGGUUAGCUAAUACCGCGUACGCUCCUUGGACUUCGGUUCAGGGAGGAAAGCGAUACCGUGGGUAUCGCGCUCUUGGUUGGGCUCAUGUCCUAUCAGCUUGUUGGUGAGGAACGGCUCACCAAGGCUUCGACGGGUAGCUGGUCUGAGAGGACGAUCAGCCACACUGGCACUGCGACACGGGCCAGACUCCUACGGGAGGCAGCAGUAAGGAAUAUUGCGCAAUGGGCGAAAGCCUGACGCAGCGACGCCGCGUGGGGGAUGAAGGUCUUCGGAUUGUAAACCCCUUUCGGGAGGGAAGAUGGAACGAGCAAUCGUUCGGACGGUACCUCCAGAAGCAGCCACGGCCAACUUCGUGCCA
Molecule: ribosomal RNA, 487 nt
Filed under: uncultured bacterium
Lineage: Bacteria
Description: bacterial SSU rRNA
Rfam family: Bacterial small subunit ribosomal RNA
Source: RNAcentral